AUGUCCUCCUCCUUCGCUGUUCCCUCCUCCGGCCUAAACUACAACAUCUCCGAGCCUCUCACCAGGACGAACUAUGUUCUUUGGCGAGCUCAAGCCCGAUCCCAAAUACUGGGCGCCGGCUUGUAUGGAUACGUCGACAAAACCAUAGCUGAGCCUCCCAAGACAAUCAUCGCCAAGGAUAAAGAUGGCAAGGAUCAGGAGAUGCCAAACCCUGCCUAUGCCCCCCGGCUAGUCCAGGAUCAGCAAAUCGUUGCCUACCUUCUCCGAAACCUCUCCAAGGAGGUCCUCGUCCAGGUGGCUUCGCUGGAGACCUCGCAUGCAAUAUGGACGGCGCUCUCCAACAUGUUUGCUGCGGUCUCCCUCUCUCGCGUCAACAAUCUUCGUGCUGCCCUCACUAACGCCCAAAAGGGCACACAAUCUGCCUCAACAUACUUCGGCUAUAUGCAUUCCCUCUCUGACGAGCUCGCGGCGGCCGGCAGACCUCUUGGAGAGCCGUAA
Molecule: ribosomal RNA, 498 nt
Filed under: Triticum aestivum (bread wheat)
Lineage: Eukaryota; Viridiplantae; Streptophyta; Magnoliopsida; Poales; Poaceae
Description: partial small subunit ribosomal RNA
Source: RNAcentral